RNAcentral lists this transfer RNA (70 nucleotides) under Mauremys mutica (yellowpond turtle). RNAcentral's name for it is "tRNA-Ile". It matches the Rfam family "tRNA". Rfam says of the family: Transfer RNA (tRNA) molecules are approximately 80 nucleotides in length. Their secondary structure includes four short double-helical elements and three loops (D, anti-codon, and T loops). The record is from RNAcentral. Lineage: Eukaryota; Metazoa; Chordata; Testudines; Geoemydidae.
GGACACGUGCCUGAAUUAAAGGGCCACCUUGAUAGGGUGAAUAACAGAGGUUAAAAUCCUCUCGUCUCCU